Molecule: ribosomal RNA, 433 nt
Filed under: uncultured bacterium
Lineage: Bacteria
Description: partial 16S ribosomal RNA
Rfam family: Bacterial small subunit ribosomal RNA
Source: RNAcentral
AGCGAACGCUGGCGGCAGGCCUAACACAUGCAAGUCGAACGAACUCUUCGGAUCUAGCGGCGGACGGGUGAGUAACACGUGGGAACGUGCCCUUCGGUACGGAAUAACUCAGGGAAACUUGUGCUAAUACCGAAUGCGCCCUUCGGGGGAAAGAUUUAUCGCCAUUAGAGCGGCCCGCGUCGGAUUAGGUAGUUGGUGAGGUAACGGCUCACCAAGGCGACGAUCCGUAGCUGGUCUGAGAGGAUGACCAGCCACACUGGGACUGAGACACGGCCCAGACUCCUACGGGAGGCAGCAGUGGGGAAUCUUGCGCAAUGGGCGAAAGCCUGACGCAGCCAUGCCGCGUGAAUGAUGAAGGCCUUAGGAUUGUAAAGUUCUUUCACCUGGGACGAUAAUGACGGUACCCGGAGAAGAAGCCCCGGCUAACUUCGUG